UACGGAGGGUGCAAGCGUUGUUCGGAAUUACUGGGCGUAAAGGGCGCGUAGGCGGUCCGCUAAGUUCGAUGUGAAAUCCCCCGGCUCAACUGGGGAACUGCAUCGGAAACUGGUGGACUCGAGUACCGGAGAGGAGGGUGGAAUUCCUGGUGUAGCGGUGAAAUGCGUAGAUAUCAGGAGGAACACCGGUGGCGAAGGCGGCCCUCUGGACGAGUACUGACGCUGAGGCGCGAAAGCGUGGGGAGCAGACAGG
This 253-nucleotide ribosomal RNA is filed under the name uncultured bacterium. Its description in RNAcentral is "partial 16S ribosomal RNA". It matches the Rfam family "Bacterial small subunit ribosomal RNA", at positions 524 to 776 of the family's 1533-position model. The record is from RNAcentral.